GUCACUGAAGAGUUAUUGAUUUUAAGACAUUCAGCUUCUUCAUGGAAGCUGCUCUCAUUGAAAUCAUGUUUCCUUCCAUGCUUCUCAUCUUUCUUUCCAUCCUUACAGCAAUUCAUCUCAAGCAAUUGAAGGUCAACAACAUUCGGUCGACAGUUUUUCCUUUUAAGAGAUUCAACUGCUUCAUCCAAGCCACACUCAUCCAUUCCAUUUUGUCUCGCAAACUCCUGAUCUUUCUCACUAUUCUUUGAGCAAAGCACCUCAUUAAGAUGAAGAAAGGAGGUUUUCCUAC
RNAcentral lists this unclassified non-coding RNA (289 nucleotides) under Hevea brasiliensis (rubber tree). The record is from RNAcentral. Lineage: Eukaryota; Viridiplantae; Streptophyta; Magnoliopsida; Malpighiales; Euphorbiaceae.